Molecule: long non-coding RNA, 6996 nt
Organism: Orbicella faveolata
Lineage: Eukaryota; Metazoa; Cnidaria; Anthozoa; Scleractinia; Merulinidae
Source: RefSeq, a predicted model, not a curated record
UGUCCCCUCAGACUUUUAACUUUGCUUUUUCUUCGAGUUAUGAACCAUCUUCCCUACCCCCAUCGCUCAUCAAAAAAUGUAUGAUUAUGUGCACCCAUUCUCGUUCAUUGAACUGAAGUAUGUAAUGGCUCCAGAAAAUGUCUGUUUCUCUUGAUUUUUAUAAUGACGAAUUAAUCACCCGAACAAAAAAAAAAAAACCUGCAAUAGAAGACCUCUCAAAGUUUUUUGUAAGAACUUCAAAACUAGACUGAAUCCAACAUUUCGACGCUAGCUCAGUGAACACCUUGUACAACAGCCGGGUUUCGAAAUGACCGGGUUUCAGCAAUUUUCUUUAUAACAUGUAUCCAUUUGUUGAAAGGUUGGGAGGGAGUCCUGUGUUCUGAAACACGAAGUCCACCGCGAGGUGCCGAUAAAAGAAGUUCUUCUGGUACCUUUUUAGGCCUAUGCGUUGUAAAUGUAUGUUUAUUAGAAUUGGGAUUUCAUUCAAACUGUGUCGAGUUCAGGCAUCCUUUAAAAGUUGUUUAAACAACAUACGUUUCUUUCCAGGUUGCUGCUUGUUUAAAGGUUUAAAUGUAAAUUCUUCAUCAAAUGUUUAAAUGUAAAUUCUAGAUCAAUCCAUAUUCAUGUUACCCUUUCCAUUUGGACACCUCUCCACCUUCCUUAUUACCUCCUGUCAAAAUUUAUCAAAUUCGAGGAAGAGUGGAAAAUAAAUAAAUACAUGAGGAACACAGUGUUCGGAUGGAAUGUUAGGCUGCAGGAGGCUGCAGUGAUAUUUAGAUGGCUUGUAGUUGUAGGUACCAAUAAAAGAGAUAAUUGGGCAAAAUGAUCCUAUCGUGAUAGGUGCCAAAUUCUUGCGGUCCGGGAGCCAGUAGGAUAAAUGUUAGAAGAAUAUACGGCCUGCAUAAGAUGCAUAAGAGGCUGAAAUUUUGAGUGAUAGCUGAGCUAUCGCAGGAAAUGUAAUUGGCUAUAUAUACAGCGGAAAUUUCCUGUGGACGUUUCCGGAAAAUCCGAAAAUUGUUCAAUUUCUACGACCCCAUCAAUGGAAAAUUAAAAAAACUAGUGCUGGAAACUCAAUAUACGGGAAAUACCCGGUGCGUAAUUGUCAAAAAUUUUCUUCGUAAGGUUCUCCUCAAAUCCGGAUGUCGUUGAAGCCAGUAGAAAGCAAACUAAUGAAAGGAGCCAAUCAGGAAUCAGGACUACCCACGAGGGACAGCGCCAUUCAGAUUGACAGGUCCUCCUCGCGUCUUGAAUAUCACUGAAAAACAAGUCAAGUAGGAGAAAUGACGCAUUGUCACAGAACGUGCAGUUACUUUGCUGAAAGGAACGCAGUUUUGCGUUCAAAAACUCCAAAACUAGUUCCAAAAAUGCUUUAUUUAGUAGUUGUUUACCGAGUUACAAUCAAUGACGUAAGAUGACAGAAAGGCCCCUGCAACGAAGCAAACCAAUUACAGAAGAGUAUCAGCCCACGUGGUACUAGGUCAAACCAGGCGCAACACAAGUUUCACUCUCGACAAACAAUUUGCAGCCCUCGAAACACUUUCGUUCAGUCAAGAGAUGCGCGAAAUUUUUCGUUCUUCGCCAGCUUCUGUCAGCGAGGUAAUAUUACUCAACUUAUUGAAUGGGACAAAGUUAAACAGGUGAGUGCCUUUGCUGUUGGAAGUCUCCCAGUGUUCACAACAUGAAAAAUUCCUGGGCGGCCUACUCUGGGGAAGAAACACGUGGUUUCAUGCCGAAGUAUAAAAUUCAAUAUUUGCGCAUGAAAAAAUGUAUUAUUUUUGACCGGUUAUGUAUAAAUUACAUAUUCUUCAGCAAAUUCCCCUAAUUUUACUUUUGUUAACAGGAUUUGCAAGAAAUGAAAAACUUUUGCCUGGUGAAUAUGUGACUUUGUGAAAAAUGUUCCCGCCAACACGCUUUGCAGUUGCCCGCAGACCGCCGUGGAAAGAAAACGCUCGCAGUUUGAGUGGAUUUGCUCGAGGGCGUGAGAAAUUUUAUCUCGGAAGACUUCGUCAAAAACGCUGCUGUCACGCACACCCGCGAAGUGGAAAGACUGGGACAGUUCCAAAGUUGAAAGUUCCCGACGAGCAAAUAGUAACUGGUUGUAUGGUCAGUUUUACCAAUACAAGAUUUCGGCUCCACCCACUAUACACAAGAUCUGACUCCGACUCGAUCAACACAUGUGGAAGUAUUGGAAUGGUUGGGAAGAACACUCUUUUCUUUCCUCCUUUCUACUGUCUACUGCUAAUUACGAUUUACCCAGACAAGAAGUUUGGAAACAAGUCAGUAAGAUUCUGAUGGAGGAUGUUGGUCAGUGAAAUUAUUUGUGGGUUGGGUGGGAAGGGUUAAAUAGAGCUCUGGUUGAACCUUGAAUCAAAUUUCGGCCAGAAGUCAAUGUACUUCUGAUUCGGCUUAAGUAACUGUAGUUAAUGUAGUUAGAUUAGUUAAUGGGGUCCCAGGUUUGGGAUGGCUCCUCCCUUUAGAUUUUUCCAUUGGGUUUCUUUUCAGGAUUUUCGGACAAGUUCUGGCUUCACUUCACACUAGUUCGGCUCAACUUUGCCUGUACUUCAACACUACAUCGGCUCCAUUUCGGCUCUACUUCAGCAUAAGUUUCACUUCAAUUCGGUUUUGCUGCAUCUCCCUGCUUAGUUGCACAAUAUACUGAAACAAUUUGAUGUGUAAAAGUUUCACUCAAUGGCAGUGAGUCUAAGCGCUGCAAUUGACUGAAACUAUGCCGACCAAAACCAUUUCUCAAAACUGUUAUGGAAAACCAUUUUGGCACUAAAGGUUCAACCAGAUAUUUACUUAAAUGUAGGUUACUGUAGCUGUUAUCUCCAGUUGUAGCCAUUAAGGCUUGGGUAAAUGAGCAGUUAGAAGGGAUUAUGCAUACACCUCGGCUAGGAUCGUUCACAAAAACACCUAGGCCAAUUGUCUGUCAUAUUUUGGCAGUUUGAUGGCUGCCAGUCAAAAUUUUGGGCCAUUAUCGCUGGUUAAAUUUUAAUGCUUUAAGUCAAUUGUCUUCUUGCCAUGGCAGUCAUCUGUCAGCUAAAUUUUCAGAAAGUCAUUAAUUUUUCCAGAGUGUAUUGUAAGCUCUCAGUUUCAAUGCUGGCCCACAUGUUAGUUUUCAGUGCAAACUCUUAGGCCAAUUGUCUGUCAUGACAGUUUGUCAGCUGUCGCCAAAUUUUUGAUAUAUAAUCUACAUGCUGACGAGCUUGGAGAGGAGUUCCUGUGUCUACAAGCCAUCGACCCACACAAAGAAGGGAAUGGUGAACACCAUGGCAUAAGGUACGUGGAACCUAGAUAGCACACUGUGUUGUAUUACACGGGAAUGCACCAUUCGCUGAUCUAAUCUAAGCUUUUGCCAAUUCCACCACAAGUGAAAUGCUUAGUAAACAUCAUCUGAACUAUUUUUUUUUUUACCAAAUCACUAUCCAGACAAUAUCAACAAUAUUUGGGAUUCACGGCUUAGAUUGGAAAGAGUGGCGUAUUCAAGUGUAGAACAACAGAUCUCGAUUUUCGGCUUUUGAUUCGGCUUUUGGUUCGGCUUUCAGUUCGGCUUUUGGUUCGGCUUUCGGUUCAGGACACAAUUGGCUCAAAUUUGUUGCACAAAGGCUUGGUUGCGACUGUCAAUCGUUAGCAGGCCACUUAAUAUGCUCAUGUAUCAUCUGGGACACCCUGAGUGUUCCAAUCAGAGUGCUAAAUGGCACAGGAACACUUGAGGUUUCUGCGGAUGCUAAAUUUUUCAAAUAGGAACGCGCCCCCUCCCUGAUACAUACUUAGGUCCUGUGGAUUAAUUUAGAAAUGAUGUAACGGAUACUUGAUAACAAUAAAACAAGAAAAGCCUGUGUCUCUUCGUCAUUUACUUUAAAUUUAGUUUUAACUUUAAAUUACUGUGUGUUUGUGUUAACUACUUCCAGACAAUAGAAAAUUUACAUAUUCAAGUUUAUUAUUUUUUCUAUACUUCUGACCGAGCCUAUUUUCGGGGGCAUACCAAACAGUCAAAAACAAGAAUGCGCGAUCUUGUAUACAAUUAUAUGUAGGUCCUGUGGAUUACUGUAGAAAUGAUGGAAUAAUGGCACACCUGGAAACAAUAAAACCCAAAAAACCUGUUGUCUGUGUCACUUUCUUUAAUGUUAACACAACAAUGCUGUUAAAUUGCUAACAAUUUUUAUUUCAGGAUCUUCACCUCAACAAGGUCUAUUUUUGAUACUUAAAUUUGUAUGAUCGGUGGUAUAACAAAUUUGGCCAAUUAAAGAGAAAAUCAAACUGUCAUAUUGUCAGCAGACCAGUCCAUUUUCGGGGACUAGCUCAUUUUCGGGAGCAUUGUCACAACAUUUUGUUUUUUGCAAACGCUUAAUUCUGAAACAAUGAUGCAGUUACUAACUGAAACUUUCAAUGCAGUUUUUGCAGGUAUGAAAAGCUAACCUAAGAAGAGACAGAGAGAGGAAAAGAGGUCUACAAACAACAUGCCCUUCUUCAAACAUGGUAGGUCCAAUACUUCAAACAGUUUGGCAACACAGUAGCAUUUCUGUUUUAGUUUUCAGACCACCAACUUCAUGUCAGUCAAAUCCAGGCAUGAAGAAAUAGAUACUCUGAUAUAUAAUCGGAAAGAGGUAAAUAAUCUACCUCAUCAUUCUAACUUUACAAUACUGAUAGGAGUCCUGGUGACAAGAAUUUGCAUAAUAUUUUGACUGUUGAGAAAUCAAGGAAAGUCAUAUCAUUUUGCAGCAGUGAAUAAAUGAAGCAGGCAUGGUUGAUUUGUUUCUGAAAACAUAAAAGGCGUGUGCAUAAUUUUUUCUUUUGACCAAGUAAGUGUAGGACAACAAAACAAUAGGCAUCUUAUCUAUGAGGAGCUUAAAAGAUGCAAAAAUAAGGGUGUUUGUGGAGAAGUGAGAAUUAUACACAAUAAUUGUAAAAAUAGUAGAUUGUCUGUUGUAGGAAUCAACUUGAAUACAUUCACAUAAAUUUUUCGAGUAUACAACUGAUGCAAUUGAGAUGAGCAAAUUGUCUGCUAUGGAGAGAAAGUCACAAAGGAAAACAAUUAAGCAGAGUACAGAAAAUACAAAUACGAUUGUCUGUUGAGAAAGUAAAAUAAGACACCAUUUUUCAACUGCAUGCACUUAACAUUUACAAAUUAAUAAAAGUGUUUUAUAGUACGUAGCUCUCAUUAACAUUGAAUGCCACUCAAAAACAGCUUGUUAGUUUUGCAGGUUACAGUGAACCUCUACAAGCCAUGCUGGUACACACCACAGAAGCUCACACCAUCCUAAUCACCGGUGCAAUGUGACAGGACAUUAUACAACCUUCAACAAAGCCUUCCCACAAAAGCCAGAGAGUGCCAUGGCCUUUCUGAAUAUGUCCAGCAUUUAAUACCUACUCAAAGACCUCUUGGACCUCUUAGAUUUCACAAUGAGAUGGGCAGGAUUUACUAUGGGGCAAGCUAGGUGCAUCCCUGUUUCCUCAGCUAUCACAGAUGAAUUUGAAGUACAGGCAAUAUCUUCUGCAACCCGCAAAUCUAAGAUGUAAAUGGCAUUGGAAGGAAGCACCACAUAGAUGAUACUUUCAACAUCCAUUCUUCAGGGAGAACAUUUACGUGCAUCACCUUAUCUCCUCCCAGCCCAAAAUAUCUAUCUGUGGUACCAACCAAUAUUAUGGGUAUAAAACCAAGCAGGGAAAAAUCUGUGCUAAUGUGCCUGGUUUCACCUUGAAUGAAUGUUGUUUUUCUCAAGUACAAAGUUAUGAAAUGCUUUGUUCACCAGAGACCUAUGUCCUGGAGGUGGUUGAAGGUUCCUGUGAGGGGAAGCUUACCUCUUUGGAGGGUGCUGCUGUCAUGUGAGUUAUGAAAAAUGCUCUGAUUCACAUUCAAUAAACCCCGCAUCAGUGCAAGUCUAAGCAGCUUGGCAAGGUUAUACAUGUUGUCCAAGUCAACCAGGCUAUGCCAUUUCUCAUAAGCCCCGUCAGAAUUUGCACUAUUUGCUUUAGAACAGCUUAUGUUUAAUAUUUUAGACUCUCACUGGUACACCUGCAGAGCAGCAAGACUUCACCCUAAAAGCAUUAACUGGCAUAAUGGAAUCAAAAUCUCUGAAACUUUGCUGCCAGGGCAAUAGAAGACCAGUACAUUCAUGGACCAUUGAGGAAAGAAGCCAGAACAGUUAAGGUCAAAGCUGGAUGUGAAGCAUUGCCUGAUGAAGACUAACAGUUAGCAGUUGUAGCAUCUCACUUGACAACAUCACAAGACAAAGGAUUACCCUUCAGUACCAACUUGAACACAAUGACAAAUACCCAUCUUAUCAAGAAAAACAGUGAUUAGUCACUAAUCAAACAGUCGUGUUGAGCAGUGUCUUUAUGGUGCUGAAAAGCAAAGAGAAUCGCGAGUCUAAUAGCGUGUGGAGCACAUCUUGCUUGAAUAAAGCUUAUCAAAAAUUUCUCCUUUUCUUCCUGUAUUUUCCAGUGCACAAUUCCAUGUGGAGGCAAGUAGAGUUGUGGAACUCUGUGUGGUAUCAGUUGGCCUUUGUGGUUUGUUUCAACUUGAAGCACAGAAGCUCUUUUAUGCUUUUCUCCAUGCCUAAAUAAACUUGCUUAUAUGAUCCAAAACAUCUGCUCUUGAAAAGUCUAUCUGUAUGAAAGAACUAUGGAUCACCUCUCAGACAGAACAAGCUUCUCUCUCAGCUCUGUAAGUCCUAAGAUACAGCUUUGCUUCUCGCUGAGUUUCAGUAUUAGAUUGCGUUCAGGCAAUACCUUCAAACAACUCUGCAUAUCUGAGUUUUAGUGUCUUCAGAGAAUUUAAUUGUUGAACAUCAAGUCAUGUUGUUUGGUGUAUUAUUGUUGUAUUGGCAUUAUCGGACAAUCUAGUCCAUAAUUUCAGCGCGUGUUAGUAAUUGUACAUUUCCUUAAACAUUUUCUGAGAUGGCUUUGGAGUCUGAUUCGUGAUCGGCAGGUGCGGUGACAAGAACCACAGACAUAAGUGGAAUCAGUGGGUGGAGCAAGGGCCCCGGCCUUCUG